GAGGGUAUAGCUCAGUGGUAAAGCGCAUACCUAGUAUGCAUGAGGUCCUGGGUUCAAUCCCCAGCACCUCUG
This 72-nucleotide transfer RNA is filed under the name Camelus bactrianus (Bactrian camel). It matches the Rfam family "tRNA". From Rfam's summary of the family: Transfer RNA (tRNA) molecules are approximately 80 nucleotides in length. Their secondary structure includes four short double-helical elements and three loops (D, anti-codon, and T loops). Further hydrogen bonds mediate the characteristic L-shaped molecular structure. tRNAs have two regions of fundamental functional importance: the anti-codon, which is responsible for specific mRNA codon recognition, and the 3' end, to which the tRNAs corresponding amino acid is attached (by aminoacyl-tRNA synthetases). tRNAs cope with the degeneracy of the genetic code in two manners: having more than one tRNA (with a specific anti-codon) for a particular amino acid; and 'wobble' base-pairing, i.e. permitting non-standard base-pairing at the 3rd anti-codon position. RNAcentral also lists the same sequence under 2 other names. The record is from Rfam by way of RNAcentral. Lineage: Eukaryota; Metazoa; Chordata; Mammalia; Artiodactyla; Camelidae.